CUCGUAGGCGGCCAACUAAGUCCGACGUGAAAUCCCCAAGCUUAACUUGGGAACUGCGUCGGAUACUGGAUGGCUUGAAUUCGGGAGAGGGAUGCAGAAUUCCAGGUGUAGCGGUGAAAUGCGUAGAUAUCUGGAGGAAUACCGGUGGCGAAGGCGGCAUCCUGGACCGACAUUGACGCUGAGGAGCGAAAGCUAGGGAGCAAACG
RNAcentral lists this ribosomal RNA (206 nucleotides) under uncultured bacterium. Its description in RNAcentral is "partial 16S ribosomal RNA". It matches the Rfam family "Bacterial small subunit ribosomal RNA", at positions 568 to 774 of the family's 1533-position model. The record is from RNAcentral.